AAUCAACGCUGGCGGCGUGCCUCAGACAUGCAAGUCGAACGAUUAAAGCUCUCUUCGGAGAGUGCAUAGAGUGGCGCACGGGUGAGUAACACGUAAGUAAUCUACCUUCGAGUGGGGAAUAACGUCCGGAAACGGACGCUAAUACCGCAUAAUGCAGCGGCAUCGUAAGAUGACAGUUGUUAAAGAUUUAUCGCUUGAAGAGGAGCUUGCGGCAGAUUAGCUAGUUGGUGAGGUAAAGGCUCACCAAGGCGACGAUCCUUAGCUGGUCUGAGAGGAUGAUCAGCCACACUGGGACUGAGACACGGCCCAGACUCCUACGGGAGGCAGCAGUGGGGAAUAUUGGACAAUGGGCGAAAGCCUGAUCCAGCAAUGCCGCGUGAGUGAUGAAGGCCUUAGGGUUGUAAAGCUCUUUACCCGGGAUGAUAAUGACAGUACCGGGAGAAUAAGCUCCGGCUAACUCCGUGCCAGCAGCCGCGGUAAU
This 481-nucleotide ribosomal RNA is filed under the name uncultured bacterium. RNAcentral describes it as "bacterial SSU rRNA". It matches the Rfam family "Bacterial small subunit ribosomal RNA", at positions 32 to 524 of the family's 1533-position model. The record is from RNAcentral.